RNAcentral lists this long non-coding RNA (1262 nucleotides) under Dermacentor andersoni. RNAcentral's name for it is "uncharacterized LOC126528122". The record is from RNAcentral. Lineage: Eukaryota; Metazoa; Arthropoda; Arachnida; Ixodida; Ixodidae.
UAGGUGUCGACUUGAAUGGGGAUGUCUGCGGAAACACUUUUGUAGCCAACGGCAUGUGGCGGUGAAAGGGAAUCGUUGGCGGUCGGCUGGCGUAGCGGGGACGAGGAUGUUUUAAAAAUCUGUCAACAGUGGCCCCCACCCCCGGAGGUCGCUCCUCCUAGUUUUUCCGGCAUGGGCUUCAGGACCUAAGGGAUCUGCGCCCCCAACGCCAUGAGCAAAUGGCAAGCGCUGGCCAGGGUACAUAGAACGUCAAGGAGAUGGAGAGCGGGGCUGGCAUCGUGGAAAAGUCGGGGACUGCUGGCUCGCCAAGUACUCGACAAUAGCUUGGCGAUGCUCACUAUCACGGGGCCGACGUGCAUCUGGGCGAAACCCAGGAAGGCCCAUCUGACCAUAUGUACGCUCUCGAUAUAGGUGGCCUGCUUCACCACAAUGGUAUUAGAGCGGCCGAUUGUCUGGAGUGCGCCAAACACUGGACUUCCGCAUAUUUUUACUUGGGCUUGACGAAGGCAGAGGGCUCGAAAAGUACUGAGGACUUGAGAAGUGCUGUGUCCGCUGUUGCGUGGGUGGGUGGGAUGAAUAGCCAACUGAUGACAUAGGAGAUUUUAAGGCUUCAGCAUACUUCAGGAGAGGGGCUGCGAAUGGCAGCGUGACCAGCAGUUGUACCAGCUGCCUGGCCUCUUCACGAACCACAUUACUUAAAGCAGUCACGUGGGAUGGAGAAGACAUUGCAGGAACUUGUUGCAGCUCCUCGUGUACAUACUGCGCAUGAACUCCCUUAGGGUCGUCAAAUCGGGUGGCCAUAGAUGACGAGAUGUGAAGAUGCUUUGGUGCUUGUACUGCGAUGACCGCUGCCAUAGCAUACGCGCUAUCGUUGUUGCGUCGUUUAAGAGUUCGGCUAUGUUACCUGGUAGGUAACGUAGCCUGGUGGUGCACUAGACCUACGAACAACUGCUCUUUCAUGCCCUGCAUCAACAAGCACACUUCUUCUUCUCAGCCCCCGAGAUCAGCGUGCCGGAACAGCCGCGGCAUGUCCUCAACAAACACGGCGACACUCUCAUUUGGUCUUCAAUUCCUGGAAUUGAGAGCACGUAUUGCGCAGCUGGCUACAAAAUUCUUGCCAGGUCGCCAAACUAGCUUCGUGGUUUUCUAACCAGAUGCACACCGAAUCCUCGAGGGCGAAGUAGACAUACCGGAGCUUCCGGUGGUCCUCCUAUUCACUGACGCUGGCAACUCGAUUGUAGUGGUCCAGCCAGUUCUCAACA